UCCUCCGCCUCUCCGGAACCUACCCGACCUCAAUCUCUACUCUUUUCUCCCCCAACUUUUCCUCUCUGGAACCUAUCCCUCAAGCUCUACUCUUUCCUCCCCUAGUUUUUCCUCUCCAGAUAGAACCAAUCAUCCCAAUCCAGCCAGAGAACCAAUCAUGCAUCAUCAUACACAACAUCUAUUCUCAUGCUCUUGCGCCUUGUCUUAUGGCACUGUUUUUCAUCUCUCUAAGUAACUCUCGGAUCCGUAAUUCGAUUGCAAAAAGGAAUUAGGGCAUUUGAAGCUAGUGAUAAUUAGGACAUUUGAAGGUAGAGGAAGGCAAGAUCGUGGUGGCAGACAAACGGUUAUUCUGCAUUUGGUUUUUGAAAGUUAUUUGCUUUUCGUACCUAAUUUUUCUAUUUCUUGAUUCAAUUUUCUGUUGAGUUUUCCUUGCAAAAUUAGGUUAGAAAUUUAGGUCUGUAAGGCUAAUACACUGAUAUUAAGUGGGUUAUUCUGUUUGUCAUGAGUUUGGAUUGAUUUCAAGCAUUUAGUGUUAUACUUUUCCAGCCAAAAACGUGAAGUCUAAUAAUAUUUGCUAUGUGUUCGCUGUUUUGCCAGAAAGAAACUUUCAAAAUAUAGCUGCCUCAUUUGAAUAGCUGUUUAACUAGUUUUAAUAUUAUUGGUUGAACUUGAAGAUGCUUAAAUUAUGUGCUCCUAAAUAGGGCAACAUUGGGCGAUACUUGAGUGGUUGAUAAUUACGAAGUUCUUGGAUUCGGAUUCGGAUUCGGAUUGUGAUAAGAAACCAAAUAGAGUUUAAGAAACUUUAUUAGUCUAGUUUAAGCAUCUUAUUUUCAACUUUGUUCAUUCUUCAUUUGAUAGCUCUUGGAAUUUGGUUUAUUUGUUCUUCCUUGUAAUUGGAUUUUGGGGUUUUGUUAGGAAGAUAGAGAGUCAUACUAAUAAAGUGCAGUAACAUACUUACAGGAGGGUGAUAUUGUAUGAUUAUAUGUACUAUUGUGAGAAGAUUUGGAACUGAAUUGAUAUGUAUAGUUGUUGAAGAUGGACAUAUUGAAGUAGAAAUCGAAAAUUUUUUAAUUGAACUAUUCAAAAACUAGGAACUAGCACGUGUUUUAGUUCUUACUAAAGGUUUUAAAUGUUACAUCACCAAUAUGUCUUUACUUUCAACCAACUCCAUUUGCGGCAGAACUAAUGUGGCAUGGUGUAGCAAAUAAACUCAAAUUUAGAAUGUGUGACUCUACUAAAAUGGUUUAGAGAUUCAAUGAAAUUUAGUAAUACAACUGUCAAACCAAAUCUUAGUUUGCCCUCAUUCAUGGUAUAUCUCAUUUUUUGAUGUAAGUAAACUUCAAUCAUUCUUAUAUCUUUGGGACAAAGAUGCACCGUUCUUUUAUGAUUGUCAAGCACUGCUCUUUUUUGAGACUACCUUUUUUUCUCAUCUUUAUCCUUUUAGCUUAGGUGACUAGAUUUGGACAGCACAUAAUCAAGUUCAGUGGAGGAUCCUAAUGCUUAAAGAGGAUACAAGGAGGAGAAGAAGAAGGUUUGACCAACUUCUAUAACUGCAUUUUAUGUUAGUUAAGUACUAAGACCUAUGACCAGUUAUAAUAAAUUGAGUCCAUAACUAUAGUUUAGGUUUAUUAAUUGGAGCUAGUACUUAAUAUGUUUUUGUUGUUGUUCAAAUUUAACUUGAAAUGUAGUAAAUAUAUUCCAAUCUUAUCACUUGAAUGCUAGACAUCUUUGGCAACAAUUUAUUGUUUAGAUUUUGCUUUCUCAAUUAUUGGAAUGAAAUUCUAAUUUGUUGCCUGUCUCUAUUAAACAAACUCUUUGCUGCAUUUUCUUGAUAUCAUUGAAAUUACUUAACUUAUUUAAGUAAAUGUUUCAUGCAAAAAUCUGUAAUAUGGUAAGAAGAAUUCUAU
Molecule: long non-coding RNA, 1907 nt
Filed under: Coffea arabica (coffee)
Lineage: Eukaryota; Viridiplantae; Streptophyta; Magnoliopsida; Gentianales; Rubiaceae
Description: long non-coding RNA (CARA_LNC005352)
Source: RNAcentral